AGUAGGAAUAUUCUGAACAGGCUACUAAAGACACCAGGAACGUUGGGAACCUGGGGGAAAUGAGGACCAAGAGAAUCAUAAAAAUAUUGGUGGCAAGAAAUGAAUCCAUGUGAAGAAUUCGUAAUCAACUUCAAACCUAACAAGCUGCAAAAUUUAGUGGGGGGAAGGGGCGUCAGGAAUUUGUGAAGCCCCCACCUGCCCCCAUGGCUACGCCACUGCCAGGACACCAACUCUGGAAUGCUGGAAUUCAUUUCAAGGUACAAGACUCUCGACAAAUGAUACUUGUGUGGCACCUCAAUGAGCCAAUUCUGUAUUUCAAAAGGGCAAAGUCGAUGACCGGGCAGGCUUGGGAAAGGGACAGAUCUAGAAAGAGAGGUGCAAACUUGGAGGGUCAAAUGACAGUGGACAGUGGGAAGCCCUCAAUCAGGACAUAACCCACUGGAGUCACUUUAAAAUUCACUUCAGUUAGGAGGCGGGGUACCCCCUUCUUAAUCUGCCACCGCAGAUAUAAAAGACCCAUGUCUGGCAGUUGCUGGAGGGAGGAGGUGUCAAGGAAAGCUGUAACAAAACAUUCUG
Molecule: long non-coding RNA, 576 nt
Organism: Acanthaster planci (crown-of-thorns starfish)
Lineage: Eukaryota; Metazoa; Echinodermata; Asteroidea; Valvatida; Acanthasteridae
Source: RefSeq, a predicted model, not a curated record